CCUCACCCCAACAACAGGUGCUGAAGAUGCAGAAACCUUUCAGCUGGAGGUCAGUGGGUUGCUCAGUGAGCUACACUGUCCCUACCCGUCCCUCACCGCAGGAAGCGCCACCUCCAGGCUGAAUGACAAACAGAGCUGCCUCCAACUGCUGCGCUCCUGUACCUCCUCCCCGAUGGUAGUAACGAGAAGAGGGCAUGUCCCGGAUGGUGAGGGUCCUUAAUGAUGGAAGCUGCCUUCUUGAGGCACCGCCUUAUGAAAAUGUCCUCGAUGGCGGGGAGGGUUGUGCCCGUGAUGGAGCUGGCUGAGUCUACAACCCUCUGCAGCCUCUUUCGAUCCUGCGCAUUGGUGCAGGAAGUGUUGAUUAAACAUUAGAGCCAAUCCUUUAGAGAGUGCUGUCUGUGCUUCCCAUUCUUGGCAAAGGCUGGGGGAACGGUUCAAACUCUUCUGCAAACAG
Long non-coding RNA from Pristis pectinata (smalltooth sawfish), 454 nucleotides. RefSeq lists it as uncharacterized. The transcript has 3 exons. The record is from RefSeq and is a predicted model, not a curated record. Lineage: Eukaryota; Metazoa; Chordata; Chondrichthyes; Rhinopristiformes; Pristidae.